Molecule: small nuclear RNA, 182 nt
Filed under: Zea mays
Lineage: Eukaryota; Viridiplantae; Streptophyta; Magnoliopsida; Poales; Poaceae
Description: U2 spliceosomal RNA
Rfam family: U2 spliceosomal RNA
About the family: U2 is a small nuclear RNA (snRNA) component of the spliceosome (involved in pre-mRNA splicing). Complementary binding between U2 snRNA (in an area lying towards the 5' end but 3' to hairpin I) and the branchpoint sequence (BPS) of the intron results the bulging out of an unpaired adenosine, on the BPS, which initiates a nucleophilic attack at the intronic 5' splice site, thus starting the first of two transesterification reactions that mediate splicing.
Source: Rfam by way of RNAcentral
AAUAUUUCUCGGCCUUUUAGCUAAGGUGUAAUAUUUGUGCUUAUUAGUUUGAUAUAUGAUAUGUGAACUAUAUGUUCACUUUGAUUUUAAAUUUAUUUUUUUAUUUUAUGGAUAUUAAAUAUGUUUGUGUGCCCGUGCGUUGUACUAUUCUAUAACACUGAGGAUGUUGUACUAUUCUAUAA